ACCUGCAAACAAACAGGAUUUGUUCACCUAACAAAUACACAAUUUUUACAUGUUAUAUUUUAAAAAAUACUCACUUAUUCUAAAUUAUAUGACCAAGACGAGGAAGUUACUCACCUCGUGCAGUAACAGAGGUUCAAGAUGUGUCCCCCUGUGGGUGCUCCACUUUAGGUGUCAUUGCGCCCCUGCGCUCAUAGCCAGAGAUUUGUGGUACCAGUGCCCCCGUUGGGGUGUACAAGCACAGUCUCCGUCUCACGCUGCUUCAGGUGGUUAACUGGUGCUGUGCGACCAACCCCCAUAUGCCCCCGUUCCUUCUCCACUGCAGAGUCUGUAUAUGAUAGAACUCCAAAGCAGAGGGGAGGAGGGCGGGCAGUGGAGCACCCACAGGGACACACAUCUCAAAGAACCUGUUACCGCACAAGGUGAGUAACUUCCUCUUCUUCUUCUUCUAGUGGUGUCCCUGUGAGUGCUUCACUUUAGGUGACUUCAGAGCAGUGCCCUCCGGUGGAAGGAGGGGGCUUCGGAGUUGAAGUCGUAGCAGAUGAAAACAAUGUGUGACCAAAGAGGGCAUCAGAAGAUGCGUGUUGCAACGCAUAGCGUUGUGUAAAAGCGUGCGGGGAGAUCCAGGUUGUGGUCCUAAGAUUUCCGCAAUAGGGAUGUUGUUGAGAAAUGCUACAGAGGUUGAAAGACUCCUCGUAGAACGCAUACGGAUCCCAGUAGGGGGUUGUUAUUUAUACUGGAGAUAAAGAGUAAGAUGCAGUCUGAUAUCCAUUUGAAUAGGCGUUGUUGGAAAUGGUGUGCUCUUUACAGCAUUCGGUGAUAGAAAUGAAUAAUUUUGGAGAUUUGCGAAAAGGUUUUAUUCUAUCAACAUAAAAGGCGAGAGCCCUGCAGACGUCCAAGUAGUGUACUCUGGAUUGUCUACUGUCUGUAAGUGGUUUUGGAAAAAAUGUAGGUAAGUAUAUAGGCUGGUUAAGGUGAAACGAUGAAGCCACCUUAGGCAAAAGCUUAGGAUGGGGUCUGAAGAUACUUUAUCUUUAAAAAAGAUCAUAUAGGGUGGAUCCCUAAUGAGAGCAGCUAGUUCUCCUAUCUGCCUGGCCGAUGUAAUGACCACUAGAAAUGCAACCUUCACAGAGAGGUGUAGUAAGGAGCUUGUAGCUAAAGGCUCAAAAGGGGGCUCGGUGAAGGCAUGGAGGACUAGGCUGAGGUCCCAUGGUGGGGUGGGUUUUCUCACUUCCAGAUGGGAGCUGGAGAGACCAUUUAAGAGGGGUUUAGUGAUGGGAUGCAUGAAAAUAGAGAAUUUGUUGACUUUAUGAUGAAAUGUCAUGAUGGCCAACAGGUGUACAUGGGUGGAACUCAUGGAAAGUCCCGGUUAAGUUCCAGUAGGUAGUCUAAAAUAAGAGGUAAGGAGGCUGACACAGGUGCCAUCUGUUUGCGUUGGUACCAUGAUUCGAAUAGUUUCCACUUAUGUCUGUAGGAGUGUUGGGUAGUUGCCUACGGCUGUUUAAUAAUAUGUUUUGAACUUCUGUGAACAUGUCAUUUCAGAUCCUGAGAUUCAUGUAGUAACCAGACUUUGAGGUUCUGGAUGGAGGAUGCUCUCUGCAUCCUGCAACAGAAGUCGAGGCAGAAGCAGGAGCAUACGGGGGGACAGACCAACAUGUGGAGAAGAUGGUGCCAGCAUUGAGAGAGAUGGGAUUCUCGAGCCCUCGACCAAGGCUUCAAAUCUGUUGUCUAGCAGUUGAUGGCUGAGAGUUAGUAGUCGAGGAAGCGGACUGUCUUCUCCUCGAAGUUUUCUGUUUCCACCCCUGUUGGUCGUAAUACCUAUUCCACUGAGUAUACUGAGGGGGUUGGAACUGUUGAGGAGUUUGGUAAGUGGUCUGCCAUUUCUGGGCAUCCACACACCUAGGAACAAGACACUGCAAGGUGGCCCUUGGGUCUUUCAGGGUAUGCAAUGUCCAUUCUGUCCACAAAGAGUAUGGCACCUUCGAAGGUAAGUCUUCUAUGGUGGACUACACCGGCUUUGGGAAACCGGAUAGAUGAAGCCAGGAGGCUCUCCUCAUAACGACUGCUGUUGCUAUGGAUCUUGCUUCAGAAUCAGUGGAAUCAAGGGCAGCUUGGAGUAAUGUUCUGGUGAUAAGUUGGCCCUCUAUGACGAGUGCUUUGUAUUGAUCCUUUUUGUCAUCUGGAAUAAAGUUUAUAAAUUCCGA
Chelonia mydas (Green sea turtle) is the source of this 2201-nucleotide long non-coding RNA. RefSeq lists it as uncharacterized. The transcript has 2 exons. The record is from RefSeq and is a predicted model, not a curated record. NCBI's taxonomy places the organism in Eukaryota, Metazoa, Chordata, Testudines, Cheloniidae.